Long non-coding RNA from Arachis stenosperma, 1377 nucleotides. RefSeq lists it as uncharacterized. Lineage: Eukaryota; Viridiplantae; Streptophyta; Magnoliopsida; Fabales; Fabaceae. The transcript has 5 exons. The record is from RefSeq and is a predicted model, not a curated record.
UAUGCUAAGUCUCAGCCCUUAUAUAUUGUCUCUAGCCUAAAUUCUUUCACUACGCCAGAAGCGGCAAAUGGCAGCAGCCAUAUACCAGUAGUUUUCAUAAAUGCCGUUAAAAUACUAGAUUGUGGCAGUCUUAAUGACGGUUUGAGAUGGGGCUGCUAAAUCAAACAAUUUAACUGUGGUUCAAACGCAAAACACCACACACACAAAAUCCCCAAUUGGAAUUAAAAAAGAAACCUCUCCCUCGGUGAUUCAAGAAAAACACAAAACCUCCACAUUCAGCGGUCUCUGUCCCUAUCCUUAUCCGUAUCCAUAUCCCUGUCCCUUUCAUACUCGUCGUCGCGGUCGCGGCAGUUGUAGUCAGCGGAGGGUUUGGAAUUGGCAACGGAAUCAGAGGAAGGUCGAUUACGAGAAAGGAGCUACUCUUGGCGGCGCUUCUGUUGUUCCAAUUUUAUCUUUUGUCUUCGUAGGCUCUCCUCAAUCAAUUUAAAAGUCAGAGACAUAAUGCGGAGAGGGGCUGAUUUUGAAUCCCCAAACUGUUGUACCAUCCAAAGAGUUUAGGUGAAGCCCAACAAAUUGAUGAAGCAUUUCAGCUACUUGAAUCAUUGGAAAAUGGUAAUGCCUUAGGAAGUCCAGAGUCGUCAACUCCAUUGAUUUUGGGUUUGCUAAAUGCCUUAAUUCAAGCAGGGUUUUGGAGAGGCAAAGGAUCUGGCUUCAGAACUCCUUACAAUGCAAUAAUUGAUGCUUUACUAAAAUAUGGCUCAGUUAAGGGUGACAACUGCUCUUGCAGUAUAUGCUAAUUGGAGCUUUGAAGGAAUCAAGGGAAGGGGAUGGGAUUGGGCUGGUGUAAUCUAUCUAUUGUUUAUUUAGUGUUUCUUUAUGUUAAUAUCUCAAGUUUAAUAAAUAUGAUGUAAAGAAAAUAUGUUAUAGUAAAAAGAAAUGGUAUAAACCAUUUGAGUAGUUAAUUAACUUUUUUUAAAGCUCUUGUAUGAACUUGCGGCGGUUUAAAAUUGUCGCACUUUUUCAAAAAAAUCCACAUAAAUUUGCGGCAGUUUCAAAAUCGUCGCAGAUUUUUUUUAAUUCACUACCAAAAUAGCGACGGUUUUGUAACCGUCGCAAAAUCAAUUAUUUGAUUUGCGGCGGUUGUGCCAGCGGUUAGUUAGAACCACUGCAAAAUCAUAUUACCACCCCCUAAUAGGCGACGCUUAACGAACCGUUAGUGUAACACCCCAACUUUCGACACAUCAUGACCAAUGCCAAAUGUUCAGAUGUUACUCAUCGUGCGGCCUACUUAGCUCUAGACUCAGAUUUUUAUAAAUUAAUAUCAAUAAAAGCCUUUGUCGGUUUAAUCGUGAACAGAUUACUACUCGUGGAAUAGCG